Molecule: non-coding RNA, 215 nt
Organism: Desulfatibacillum alkenivorans AK-01
Lineage: Bacteria; Pseudomonadati; Thermodesulfobacteriota; Desulfobacteria; Desulfobacterales; Desulfatibacillaceae
Rfam family: Bacterial large signal recognition particle RNA
About the family: The signal recognition particle (SRP) is a universally conserved ribonucleoprotein involved in the co-translational targeting of proteins to membranes.
Source: Rfam
UUGUGCUAGGUCCUUUCCGGGCUGAAUUCCUCCCUGAGGUUUCCUUGUCCUGGAUUAACGGAACACUCGGACCGGCCGCCGCGCAACAGACGGCCAUGAACCUCGUCAGGUCCGGAAGGAAGCAGCGAUAAGUGGUUUAGUCUGUGUCGUGGAUCGAUCCCGGUCAUGUAGUGUUUUUAGUUGUUCAGGAACAGACUCCAAAGGGAGGUGCACAA